RNAcentral lists this ribosomal RNA (565 nucleotides) under Plectosphaerella cucumerina. RNAcentral describes it as "eukaryotic LSU rRNA". The stretch from base 188 to 341 matches the Rfam family "5.8S ribosomal RNA". Lineage: Eukaryota; Fungi; Ascomycota; Sordariomycetes; Glomerellales; Plectosphaerellaceae. The record is from RNAcentral.
AAAGUCCGUAACAAGGUCUCCGUUGGUGAACCAGCGGAGGGAUCAUUACUGAGUACUACACUCUCUACCCUUUGUGAACUAUUAUACCUGUUGCUUCGGCGGCGCCCGCAAGGGUGCCCGCCGGUCUCAUCAGAAUCUCUGUUUUCGAACCCGACGAUACUUCUGAGUGUUCUUAGCGAACUGUCAAAACUUUUAACAACGGAUCUCUUGGCUCCAGCAUCGAUGAAGAACGCAGCGAAACGCGAUAUGUAAUGUGAAUUGCANAAUUCAGUGAAUCAUCGAAUCUUUGAACGCACAUGGCGCCUUCCAGUAUCCUGGGAGGCAUGCCUGUCCGAGCGUCGUUUCAACCCUCGAGCCCCUGUGGCCCGGCGUUGGGGAUCUGCCACGGCAGGCCCCUAAAACCAGUGGCGGACCCGAAGGGCCCUCUCCUUUGCGCAGUAGCAUUCGCCUCGCAUUGGGAGUCCUCGGCGUCCUGCCUCUAAACCCCCCACAAGUCCGCUUCGGCGGCACCAAGGUUGACCUCGGAUCANGUANGAAUACCCGCUGAACUUAAGCAUAUCAAUAA